UACGGGGGGAGCAAGCGUUGUUCGGAUUUACUGGGCGUAAAGGGCGCGUAGGCGGUCAGCACAAGUCAGUUGUGAAAUCUCCGGGCUUAACUCGGAAAGGUCAACUGAUACUGUGCGACUAGAGUGCGGAAGGGGCAACUGGAAUUCCUGGUGUAGCGGUGGAAUGCGCAGAUAUCAGGAGGAACACCGAUGGCGAAGGCAGGUCACUGGGCCGCAACUGACGUUGAGGAGCGAAAGCAUGGGGAGCGAACAGG
This 254-nucleotide ribosomal RNA is filed under the name uncultured bacterium. Its description in RNAcentral is "partial 16S ribosomal RNA". It matches the Rfam family "Bacterial small subunit ribosomal RNA", at positions 524 to 776 of the family's 1533-position model. The record is from RNAcentral.